GACGAACGCUGGCGGCGUGCCUAAUACAUGCAAGUAGAACGCUGAAGGAGGAGCUUGCUUCUCUGGAUGAGUUGCGAACGGGUGAGUAACGCGUAGGUAACCUGCCUGGUAGCGGGGGAUAACUAUUGGAAACGAUAGCUAAUACCGCAUAAUAGCAGUUGUUGCAUGACAACUGUUUAAAAGGUGCAAUUGCACCACUACCAGAUGGACCUGCGUUGUAUUAGCUAGUUGGUGGGGUAACGGCUCACCAAGGCGACGAUACAUAGCCGACCUGAGAGGGUGAUCGGCCACACUGGGACUGAGACACGGCCCAGACUCCUACGGGAGGCAGCAGUAGGGAAUCUUCGGCAAUGGACGGAAGUCUGACCGAGCAACGCCGCGUGAGUGAAGAGGGUUUUCGGAUCGUAAAGCUCUGUUGUAAGAGAAGAACGAGUGUGAGAGGGAAAGUUCACACUGGACGG
This 461-nucleotide ribosomal RNA is filed under the name uncultured bacterium. RNAcentral describes it as "bacterial SSU rRNA". It matches the Rfam family "Bacterial small subunit ribosomal RNA", at positions 28 to 475 of the family's 1533-position model. The record is from RNAcentral.